UGAUUUGAGAGGAUGAUCAGCCACAUUGGGACUGAGACACGGCCCAAACUCCUACGGGAGGCAGCAGUGGGGAAUCUUGCACAAUGGAGGAAACUCUGAUGCAGCGAUGCCGCGUGAGUGAAGAAGGCCUUUGGGUUGUAAAGCUCUUUCGUCGGGGAAGAAAAUGACUGUACCCGAAUAAGAAGGUCCGGCUAACUUCGUGCCAGCAGCCGCGGUAAUACGAAGGGACCUAGCGUAGUUCGGAAUUACUGGGCUUAAAGAGUUCGUAGGUGGUUGAAAAAGUUGGUGGUGAAAUCCCAGAGCUUAACUCUGGAACUGCCAUCAAAACUUUUCAGCUAGAGUAUGAUAGAGGAAAGCAGAAUUUCUAGUGUAGAGGUGAAAUUCGUAGAUAUUAGAAAGAAUACCAAUUGCGAAGGCAGCUUUCUGGAUCAUUACUGACGCUGAGGAACGAAAGCAUGGGUAGCGAAGAGGAUUAGAUACCCUCGUAGUCCAUGCCGUAAACGAUGUGUGUUAGACGUUGGAAAUUUAUUUUCAGUGUCGCAGCGAAAGCGAUAAACACACCGCCUGGGGAGUACGACCGCAAGGUUAAAACUCAAAUGAAUUGACGGGGACCCGCACAAGUAGUGGAGCAUGUGGUUUAAUUCGAAGAUACGCGCAGAACCUUACCAACACUUGACAUGUUCGUCGCGACUUUAAGAGAUUAAAGUUUUCGGUUCGGCCGGACGAAACACAGGUGCUGCAUGGCUGUCGUCAGCUCGUGUCGUGAGAUGUUGGGUUAAGUCCCGCAACGAGCGCAACCCUCACUUUUAGUUGCCAUCAUUAAGUUGGGCACUCUGAAAGAACUGCCAGUGAUAAGCUGGAGGAAGGUGGGGAUGACGUCAAGUCCUCAUGGCCCUUACGUGUUGGGCUACACACGUGCUACAAUGGUAUCUACAACAGGAAGCAAA
RNAcentral lists this ribosomal RNA (947 nucleotides) under marine metagenome. RNAcentral describes it as "bacterial SSU rRNA". It matches the Rfam family "Bacterial small subunit ribosomal RNA", at positions 288 to 1253 of the family's 1533-position model. The record is from RNAcentral.